UACGAAGGGGGCUAGCGUUGCUCGGAAUCACUGGGCGUAAAGCGCACGUAGGCGGAUCGCUAAGUCAGGGGUGAAAUUUCGGAGCUUAACUCCGAAACUGCAUUCGAUACUGCCGUGCUUGAGGACUGGAGAGGAGACUGGAAUUUACGGUGUAGCGGUGAAAUGCGUAGAUAUCGUAAGGAAGACCAGUGGCGAAGGCGGGUCUCUGGACAGUUCCUGACGCUGAGGCACGAAGGCCAGGGGAGCAAACGGG
Molecule: ribosomal RNA, 253 nt
Filed under: uncultured bacterium
Lineage: Bacteria
Description: partial 16S ribosomal RNA
Rfam family: Bacterial small subunit ribosomal RNA
Source: RNAcentral